AGAGUUUGAUCAUGGCUCAGGAUGAACGCUGGCGGCGUGCCUAAGAUAUGCAAGUCGAGCGCCCUACUAAUUUCAGGAAGUAUUUCGUGGGAUUGGUAGGGGAGCGGCGGACGGCUGAGCAACGCGUAGGAAUGUACCUUGUAGUGAGGGAUAAGCCCGGGAAACCGGGUCUAAUACCGCAUAUUCUCUUCGGAGCAAACCUUCGGGGGCUAUAAGAGCGGCCUGCGUACGAUUAGGUUGUUGGUGAGGUAAAGGCUCACCAAGCCGAUGAUCGUUAGCUGGUCUGAGAGGAUGGUCAGCCAGACUGGGACUGAGACACGGCCCAGACCCCUACGGGGGGCAGCAAUUAGGAAUCUUUCGCAAUGAGGGAAACCCUGACGGAGCGACGCCGCGUGCAGGAGGAAGGCCUUCGGGUUGUAAACUGCUUUUGUAUGUGACGAUUAUGACGGUAGCAUGCGAAUAAGGACCUGCUAACUACGUG
RNAcentral lists this ribosomal RNA (481 nucleotides) under uncultured bacterium. RNAcentral's name for it is "bacterial SSU rRNA". It matches the Rfam family "Bacterial small subunit ribosomal RNA", at positions 8 to 507 of the family's 1533-position model. The record is from RNAcentral.